RNAcentral lists this long non-coding RNA (554 nucleotides) under Pongo abelii (Sumatran orangutan). RNAcentral's name for it is "lincRNA". Lineage: Eukaryota; Metazoa; Chordata; Mammalia; Primates; Hominidae. The record is from RNAcentral.
UUCCAUUACCGGCCAGCUACACUUAAGGGACCAUUCAACAGUGGUAGGGAGGGAAGAGCCACAGCUCUGGAGAGCACUCUUUUCUUCUGGUCCGUUAUUUUCCCUGAAGAGACCCCUGACGCCUAAAGAGACAGGGUAUCGCUCUGUUGCCCAAGCUGUAGUGUAGUGGCACAAUCACAGCUGACGACAGACUUGACCCCCCAGGCUCAAGCGAUCCUCCCACCUCAGCCUCCAGAGUAGCUUAGACUACAGCCCUGUCUCAGUGUGGCCUGCUCCCAGAACUCUUUCUCCUGACUUCUGAUUUCACCAAGAGGACAUGGACUCAGAAGAACGAAGACAGAAACACAAAGACACAGGAACAGCAACCAAGCCCCUCUUCUCCAGGCAAUCAUCUCACUUCAACUGGCAUAGACCCCUUAGGGGUGUGGACACUGUCUGAAAGUAUCUGGAGAGACCAAGUUUCAGCAGCCACUAAGCUGUCAAGGCUCUUUAAAAAUCUGAUUCCUGGCCAGGCAGGGGGACGCACACCUGUCAUCCCAGUACUUUGGGAGGCU